This 380-nucleotide ribosomal RNA is filed under the name uncultured bacterium. RNAcentral's name for it is "bacterial SSU rRNA". It matches the Rfam family "Bacterial small subunit ribosomal RNA", at positions 29 to 433 of the family's 1533-position model. The record is from RNAcentral.
AACGAACGCUGGCGGCAGGCUUAACACAUGCAAGUCGAACGCGUGCAGCAAUGCACGAGUGGCGCACGGGUGAGUAACGCGUGGAUAUCUGCCUUCUGGUUCGGAAUAACCCCGGGAAACUGGGGCUAAUACCGAAUGGUUCCUACGGGAUAAAGAUUUAUCGCCAGAAGAUGAGUCCGCGUCCGAUUAGCUAGUUGGUGAGGUAACGGCUCACCAAGGCGACGAUCGGAGCUGGUCUGAGAGGACGACCAGCCACACUGGGACUGAGACACGGCCCAGACUCCUACGGGAGGCAGCAGUGGGGAAUAUUUGGACAAUGGGCGGCAAGCCUGAUCCAGCGAUGCCGCGUGUGUGAAGAAGGCCUGCGGGUUGUAAAGCAC